This 253-nucleotide ribosomal RNA is filed under the name uncultured bacterium. RNAcentral's name for it is "partial 16S ribosomal RNA". It matches the Rfam family "Bacterial small subunit ribosomal RNA", at positions 524 to 776 of the family's 1533-position model. The record is from RNAcentral.
UACGGAGGGUGCAACCGUUGUUCGGAAUUACUGGGCGUAAAGCGCGUGUAGGCGGCUUGGCAAGUCGGGUGUGAAAGCCCCGGGCUCAACCUGGGAAGUGCACUCGAAACUGCUUGGCUUGAGUACUGGAGAGGGAAGCGGAAUUCUCGGUGUAGAGGUGAAAUUCGUAGAUAUCGAGAGGAACACCGGUGGCGAAGGCGGCUUCCUGGACAGUUACUGACGCUGAGACGCGAAAGCGUGGGGAGCAAACAGG